GACGAACGCUGGCGGCGUGCCUAAUACAUGCAAGUUGAGCGCUGAAGGUUGGUACUUGUACCAACUGGAUGAGCAGCGAACGGGUGAGUAACGCGUGGGGAAUCUGCCUUUGAGCGGGGGACAACAUUUGGAAACGAAUGCUAAUACCGCAUAAAAACUUUAAACACAAGUUUUAAGUUUGAAGGAUGCAAUUGCAUCACUCAAAGAUGAUCCCGCGUUGUAUUAGCUAGUUGGUGGGGUAAAGGCUCACCAAGGCGAUGAUACAUAGCCGACCUGAGAGGGUGAUCGGCCACAUUGGGACUGAGACACGGCCCAAACUCCUACGGGAGGCAGCAGUAGGGAAUCUUCGGCAAUGGACGAAAGUCUGACCGAGCAACGCCGCGUGAGUGAAGAAGGUUGUCGGAUCGUAAAACUCUGUUGGUAGAGAAGAACGUUGGUGAGAGUGGAAAGCUCAUCAAGUGACGGUAACUACCCAGAAAGGGACGGCUAACUACGUG
This 497-nucleotide ribosomal RNA is filed under the name uncultured bacterium. RNAcentral's name for it is "partial 16S ribosomal RNA". It matches the Rfam family "Bacterial small subunit ribosomal RNA", at positions 28 to 507 of the family's 1533-position model. The record is from RNAcentral.